UCACCCUACGGGACGCAGCAGUGAGGAAUAUUGGUCAAUGGUCGGGAGACUGAACCAGCCAAGUAGCGUGCAGGAUGACGGCCCUCCGGGUUGUAAACUGCUUUUAGUUGGGAAUAAAAGGGGGCUCGUGAGCCCCGUAUUGUAUGUACCAUCAGAAAAAGGACCGGCUAAUUCCGUGCCAGCAGCCGCGGUAAUACGGAAGGUCCGGGCGUUAUCCGGAUUUAUUGGGUUUAAAGGGAGCGUAGGCCGGCUUUUAAGU
RNAcentral lists this ribosomal RNA (259 nucleotides) under uncultured bacterium. Its description in RNAcentral is "partial 16S ribosomal RNA". It matches the Rfam family "Bacterial small subunit ribosomal RNA", at positions 334 to 588 of the family's 1533-position model. The record is from RNAcentral.